This 524-nucleotide ribosomal RNA is filed under the name uncultured bacterium. Its description in RNAcentral is "bacterial SSU rRNA". It matches the Rfam family "Bacterial small subunit ribosomal RNA", at positions 777 to 1297 of the family's 1533-position model. The record is from RNAcentral.
AAUAGAUACCCGGGUAGUCCACGCCGUAAACGAUGAGUGCUAAGUGUUAGAGGGUUUCCGCCCUUUAGUGCUGCAGCAAACGCAUUAGGCACUCCGCCUGGGGAGUACGGCCGCAAGGCUGAAACUCAAAGGAGUUGACGGGGGCCCGCACAAGCGGUGGAGCAUGUGGUUUAAUUCGAAGCAACGCGAAGAACCUUACCAGGUCUUGACAUCCUCUGACACUCCUAGAGAUAGGACGUUCCCCUUCGGGGGACAGAGUGACAGGUGGUGCAUGGUUGUCGUCAGCUCGUGUCGUGAGAUGUUGGGUUAAGUCCCGCAACGAGCGCAACCCUUGAUCUUAGUUGCCAGCAUUCAGUUGGGCACUCUAAGGUGACUGCCGGUGACAAACCGGAGGAAGGUGGGGAUGACGUCAAAUCAUCAUGCCCCUUAUGACCUGGGCUACACACGUGCUACAAUGGAUGGUACAAAGGGCAGCAAAACCGGCGAGGUCGAGCAAAAUCCCAUAAAACCAUUCUCAGUUCGGA